AGAGUUUGAUCAUGGCUCAGGAUAAACGCUGGCGGCGCACAUAAGACAUGCAAGUCGAACGGAAGUCGUUGUAAUGAUUUUAACAUGAACAGAGAACUUGUUCGAAGGAAUUGAAGGAAGACUUACAACAAUGGCUUUAGUGGCGGACUGGUGAGCAACACGUAAGCAACCUGCCUGUUAGAGGGGAAUAACAUCGAGAAAUCGAUGCUAAUACCGCAUAUACCCGGUUAUUCGCAUGAAUAGUUGGGGAAAGGAGCAAUCCGCUAACAGAUGGGCUUGCGUCUGAUUAGUUAGUUGGUGGGGUAAUGGCCUACCAAGACCGCGAUCAGUAGCCGGACUGAGAGGUUGAACGGCCACAUUGGGACUGAGAUACGGCCCAGACUCCUACGGGAGGCAGCAGUCGGGAAUAUUGCGCAAUGGAGGAAACUCUGACGCAGUGACGCCGCGUAUAGGAAGAAGGUUUUCGGAUUGUAAACUAUUGUCUGCAGGGAAGAAAAAAGACAGUACCUGCAAAGAAAGCUCCGGCUAACUACGUGCCAGCAGCCGCGGUAAUACGUAGGGAGCAAGCGUUAUCCGGAUUUAUUGGGUGUAAAGGGUGCGUAGACGGGAAAUUAAGUUAGUUGUGAAAACCCUCGGCUUAACUGAGGAAUUGCAACUAAAACUGAUAUUCUUGAGUGCAGGAGAGGAAAGUGGAAUUCCUAGUGUAGCGGUGAAAUGCGUAGACAUUAGGAGGAACACCAGUGGCGAAGGCGACUUUCUGGCCUGUAACUGACGUUGAGGCACGAAAGCGUGGGGAGCAA
This 800-nucleotide ribosomal RNA is filed under the name uncultured bacterium. RNAcentral's name for it is "bacterial SSU rRNA". It matches the Rfam family "Bacterial small subunit ribosomal RNA", at positions 8 to 771 of the family's 1533-position model. The record is from RNAcentral.